UUAAGGUAACUAAUACUCACCAUUGCUAUUUAAAUUCCUUAGUUCAUACAGGUAUAUAUGGUGGGAUUUGAUUUCAAACCCAGGUCAGAAUCUGAAAUACUUUUUAUUCAGUAGACCCCAUGACUACCUUUAGGAAAUCGUAGUCCAAUAGAUCAAGAUAAGCAUAAAAAGUAACUUGACAAUUACACUGAAUAUGAAGCUUGGCCGAAUUUUACCAUACUGCCUGUUGGUGGCUUCAAAAAUAUUUUAAAUAAUAUCUUUGAAAUAUUAGUGCAUUUAUCUUCCAUAUAGUAAUCAAUAUCUUUCUUGGCUUUCUCUCAAGUGCUACAGGCACAUCUUCAAAUUUAGAGCCAGUCCUGACUGAUGAUAAAAGUAUAUAGCCUUUAUUACAACACCCAAUCAGUCUUGGAACAGUCAAACCACAUGUGGGAUCUAAUGGCCCACCAUGGCUACUACAUUCCUUCAUUUCUUCCCACUCCUUUCCCAUCAGACUUCCAUUAUGAGCUAAAGCUCAGUUAGGUAUGCCAUGGCAAGACCCACAGGUACACUUGGCUCUGGUUUCUGUAUGCUCUGAUUGCUAUCAUCUUGAUUUUUAAUCUGUGAGCUGCAUGUUGCAAUAUUGUGUAAUAGCAUAAAUGACAGUUUAUUUGAAUGAUUAUCUUGCUCUUUCUUGCCACCUCUCUUUCCAAAGGACUGGAUCUACUGGGUUAACCCUGGAAGAUCUCCUGGAAAGAUGCCUUCCUAAACCCUGAUCCAAGGAGGCCAGAUAAAAAAGAUGAAAAACUCAAGAGGCUUGACAUUGCCUGAAAAAGGUGCUGAAUACCCUUCGCCAUGGGAACCAUCCAGAAGACAGAAAUGUACACAGAUUUCCAGAACAGCCUUCCAAACCUUCAAUUGCAUUAAAGUUGAGUUUUAUAGGUUUUCUCACUCUGCAUAUGUAUAAACUGAGAAUAGAAACUAUUCCCUAUAAGGAGGCUUCUAUACAUAUAUCAAAGGAUUUUGAUGACAUUAUAAUAACCAAUAGAGUGGAGCUGGGGCAAUUUGUGAUGAUUCUGGAAUCUCAAGACAUUUACUUUCUGUUAUAAAAUAUUAAUGAAACAGCUGACAAGCCAACAAAAUUCUAAAGGAGCACAUCUCACAGGAGAGAAAUUUGUUGACAUUGACUUGGACUCCGAAGUGGGUUUUAUGAACUCACGGUUAUAGAUGUACCUAUUACCUUUGUGUUAAUUGUGUAUUCAAGGAAGAGAUGCAGCACUUUCAGAGAUAGACAUCAUCAUAACCUCUUUUAUUAUUCGAUGUAUUUCAAAGCUGUGGGGCAGGACAGAAUUUGGACUGGUGCUAUUUUUAUUUGCUUUUAGAUAGAAGUGACUUAUCUUGCAAAAUGAAUGUGGAUAGGCUUUUUUUGUUGUUCUGUGUAGACAUUUGUGGUUUAAAUUUUUUUAUUGCUGCAAGAAUUCCAAGGCAUGGUGUUUUUUAUUAGGAGGAAAAAAAUACCUGAUGAUGAUCAGAAACAUUUUCAUCCACUGGUGGAGUGCAGAGGUAUAAGUUGCUAUAGCCAUAAAGUUUAGGGCAAGACACUGACUCCUAACUGCUGGGAGCUGAAAACCACUGGGAUAAUAAUACAUAUAUAUACUAUACUUUCCUUCCGUUCUUCAUGGCACCCUUCUCCCGUAGCUCCAGGAGCCAGGAUGAUGAGCUUUAGUAUCACAGUAGCCUGCAAUUCUACCGCAUACUGGGAAAGAACGACAGACUUCCAGAGUAUUCAACACUUAUUUGGCUACUAAUCCAACAUAUGCUUGCCUAUCCCCUGGGUAUUUUUGUUUUGUUUUGUUUUGAUUCAUCCCAGCAAGGCAAUAAAAAUCUACCACUUUCACUAUAUAUAUAUAUAGUGGUGCUGGGUUUUACCUGAGUAAACUAUUUAUAUUUUCUCUCUUUAUAAACAAGAAUGUGCAUCAGCAAGCAGAGUUAGAAGACUAGAAAACACCCAGCAUACAGAGGCACAUGUAUUCAAAACAGUUUGUUUAUUUGAAUCCAAAUUGCUAAUCUAAGACUUAACUUCAACAUUGACCUCGCUAGUGCCAUCUUUUAAACAACCAAGUUAACUACAAACACAUAUUAAAUAAUUGUGUUUCAUAUGAUCUUCCACAAAGUUUCAAGAUAUUUUAAUGGAAAAUAGUCUUCAACAAAUGAUGCUAGAACAACUGGACAUCCAUGUGCAAAAAAAAAAAAAAAAUUUGAACCUAGCCAUAAACUACAUCUUUUGAA
Canis lupus familiaris (dog) is the source of this 2265-nucleotide long non-coding RNA. RefSeq lists it as uncharacterized. NCBI's taxonomy places the organism in Eukaryota, Metazoa, Chordata, Mammalia, Carnivora, Canidae. The transcript has 2 exons. The record is from RefSeq and is a predicted model, not a curated record.